GACGAACGCUGGCGGCGUGCUUAACACAUGCAAGUCGAACGGUAAGGCCCUUCGGGGUACACGAGUGGCGAACGGGUGAGUAAUACGUGGGUGAUCUGCCCUGCACUUCGGGAUAAGCCUGGGAAACUGGGUCUAAUACCGGAUAGGACCCUGGGAUGCAUGUCCUGGGGUGGAAAGCUUUUGCGGUGUGGGAUGGGCCCGCGGCCUAUCAGCUUGUUGGUGGGGUGAUGGCCUACCAAGGCGACGACGGGUAGCCGGCCUGAGAGGGUGACCGGCCACACUGGGACUGAGAUACGGCCCAGACUCCUACGGGAGGAAGCAGUGGGGAAUAUUGCACAAUGGGCGCAAGCCUGAUGCAGCGACGCCGCGUGAGGGAUGACGGCCUUCGGGUUGUAAACCUCUUUCAGCACCGACGAAGCGCAAGUGACGGUAGGUGCAGAAGGAGGACCGGCCAACUACGUGCCAGCAGCCGCCGUAA
RNAcentral lists this ribosomal RNA (478 nucleotides) under uncultured bacterium. RNAcentral describes it as "partial 16S ribosomal RNA". It matches the Rfam family "Bacterial small subunit ribosomal RNA", at positions 28 to 523 of the family's 1533-position model. The record is from RNAcentral.